Molecule: small nuclear RNA, 122 nt
Organism: Papaver somniferum (opium poppy)
Lineage: Eukaryota; Viridiplantae; Streptophyta; Magnoliopsida; Ranunculales; Papaveraceae
Product: U5 spliceosomal RNA
Exons: 1
Source: RefSeq, a predicted model, not a curated record
CAGCCGUGCCGUAAGCUCAAAGCGAACUAUUCUUUCGCCUUUUACUAAAGAAUAUCGUGUGCUUGCCGUGAAUAAGCGGGCAUACCCCCUAUUUUUGGAGGGUUUCUCUUUUCUAAGAGGAA